Molecule: long non-coding RNA, 1367 nt
Organism: Sceloporus undulatus (fence lizard)
Lineage: Eukaryota; Metazoa; Chordata; Lepidosauria; Squamata; Phrynosomatidae
Exons: 3
Source: RefSeq, a predicted model, not a curated record
UGCUCUGCUGUCAUGAAUUCUGAAGGAUGAGAAAACUACAACCCCCAUAAGUCUACCAGGAAAUGAUGUUGCUUAGCUUUUUCCAGAGAGUCAGACAAAUGAAGGACUUGUCCUUGAGAUUUCCCCUGAAGCCAGUUCCUUCUUCCUGACUGAAUGGAAAGAGUGUCUUCAUUGGAAGGAUAGUGAGAUCCUGGAUGAACAUUAACCAUGAAGAUCCUUCACUGUCUCUCAGUUGUUAUCUUUUUCUUAUUUCAGGCUCUUCAAGGGGAGAGCCCUGCAGAAGCUAUGCUGCUUACCUGUGCCUCCGUGGGUGGAUUCUGUCUCCUGCUACCCAACGAGACUUGCCCCUCAGGUGUUAUGCUGGAUAUUCCUUGUCAUUUCAAAAGACAAUGUUGCUCAAAGUCAAGAGUUUAACCUGGACUUUUCUGGAUUAAAUCUGUUUAGAAAUGCCUCUGUGCAGCUUCCAUCCAUUCCAUUGUAAUCUGCAGCUGAGCUGAUGUACUGUACAGUGAACUCAAUAGGCAGGGCUUUCCUCUCUGUUCUGGGAAUGACCAGCAGUGAUGGUUCAGGAGCCUUCUAUAAUUUAUCUGGCUGUUACGGCUGCCUUUUAGGUGAAAUACUAGACAAGGGUCUUAAACCUUUGUGUAGAAGAGAGUAUUUUUGCUGAAAUGUUGCUUGUCAUAUGCUGAAAUUCUCUCUUCUUAUCAGCUAUUAAAGGUACAACAGUGUUGACUUGGCAACCCCAAUUUACACUUAGCAAAUACAUUUUCCACCAAGAGUCUAAAAUGAGGUAGGAUUUUUGGAAUACUUAGUACUUUGGAAUACUUAAUAUUUACUUUAAGCAAUCUCAGAUGGAUCAUCUAGACUGCUCUGUAGAUCAGUAUUAGUGUACGUAUUAUGAACCUUAUCUAUGGUUCAAGACACUGCAGUUCAGGAGGUAAAGCACAAUGGAACCAUUCCACAAAUAUAUGUGUGGCAUAAUAUAUUGGAGAACCAGAGCAAUGGUGUGGUUUGAGCAUUGGAUUAUGACUCUGGAGACUAGGAUUUUAUUCCGUGUGGCCUGGAAACCUACUGGGUGACCUUGGUUGAGUCGCACACUCUCAGCCCCGAGAGAUCCUAUGAUAGGAUUGACUUAAGGUUGCCAACAACAUUGGAGAGCUUCAUAAUUCACAUCUCUGGCAUAAAAAUAACAGUUACUCCAUCAUGUAGCAAUAUGGCCAUCAUAGUCAGCAGAUCUAGGAGUGCCAUUAGUGACAAUAUUUGCCUCAGAAUGAAAGAGCAUUUGACUACUGGAAGAUUUGUCUAUGCAUUCUGAAAUUAAAACAAUCUCUCCUUCCUUUUAUUGUGCCUUGUGAAUGAGACUUUCC